This 671-nucleotide ribosomal RNA is filed under the name Cortinarius luteinus. RNAcentral's name for it is "eukaryotic LSU rRNA". The stretch from base 278 to 431 matches the Rfam family "5.8S ribosomal RNA". Lineage: Eukaryota; Fungi; Basidiomycota; Agaricomycetes; Agaricales; Cortinariaceae. The record is from RNAcentral.
ACAAGGUUUCCGUAGGUGAACCUGCGGAAGGAUCAUUAUUGAAAUAAACCUGAUGGGUUUGCUGCUGGUUCUCCAGGGAACAUGUGCACACUUGUCAUCUUUAUAUCUCCACCUGUGCACCCUUUGUAGACCUGCAUAUCUUUCUGAAUGCUUGCAUUCAGGUUUGAGGAUUGACCUUUGGUUCUCUCCUUAUUUUUCAGGUCUAUGUUUCUUCAUUAUACCCAAUUUGUAUGUCAGAGAAUGUAAUAAAUUGGCCUCUGUGCCUAUAAACCUAUACAACUUUCAGCAACGGAUCUCUUGGCUCUCGCAUCGAUGAAGAACGCAGCGAAAUGCGAUAAGUAAUGUGAAUUGCAGAAUUCAGUGAAUCAUCGAAUCUUUGAACGCACCUUGCGCUCCUUGGUAUUCCGAGGAGCAUGCCUGUUUGAGUGUCAUUAAUAUAUCAACCUCUUCAGCUUUGUUUGUCGAGUGGUUGGAUGUGGGGGUAUUUUGCUGGCCUUGGAGGUCAGCUCCCCUGAAAUGCAUUAGCGGAACAUUUUGUUGACCGUUCAUUGGUGUGAUAACUAUCUACGCUACUGACGUGAAACAGGUUCAGCUUAUAACAGUCUAUUGACUUGGACAAAUUUUUUAUUAAUGUGACCUCAAAUCAGGUAGGACUACCCGCUGAACUUAAG